CCAGCAGCUGCGGUAAUUCCAGCUCUAAUAGCGUAUAUUAAAGUUGUUGCAGUUAAAAAGCUCGUAGUCGGAAUUCGGGUUCGGGCAGGCUUCUGACCUCUGGGAAGAUGGCAGGCUCGGGUCUUUCUGCCUGAGGAACCCGUGGCACUUAACUGUGCGGCGUGGGGACGCAGGCCGUUUACUUUGAAAAAAUUAGAGUGUUCAAAGCAGGCCUACGCUUGAAUACAUUAGCAUGGAAUAAUGGAAUAGGACUUUGGUGCUAUUUUGUUGGUUUAUGGGACCGAAGUAAUGAUUAACAGGGACAGUUGGGGCCGUUUAUAUUUCGUUGUCAGAGGUGAAAUUCUUGGAUUUACGAAAGAUAAACUUCUGCGAAAGCAUUCGGCAAGGAUGUUUUCAUUGAUCAAGAACGAAAGU
Molecule: ribosomal RNA, 414 nt
Filed under: uncultured eukaryote
Lineage: Eukaryota
Description: SSU rRNA
Rfam family: Eukaryotic small subunit ribosomal RNA
Source: RNAcentral